GCGUCGAAAGGUGAUGGGGUUCCACCUAAUUGAACCGCCGAAUCGUUGAAGCGCACAGCGCUGAACAACCCUCUCGGCUGAUGACUCCUACUAAAAU
This 97-nucleotide non-coding RNA is filed under the name Vibrio sp. RNAcentral describes it as "Fluoride sequence". It matches the Rfam family "Fluoride riboswitch aptamer (crcB RNA motif)". Lineage: Bacteria; Pseudomonadati; Pseudomonadota; Gammaproteobacteria; Vibrionales; Vibrionaceae. The record is from RNAcentral.